RNAcentral lists this ribosomal RNA (474 nucleotides) under uncultured archaeon. RNAcentral describes it as "bacterial SSU rRNA". It matches the Rfam family "Archaeal small subunit ribosomal RNA", at positions 398 to 872 of the family's 1478-position model. The record is from RNAcentral.
UAAGGGGAUCUUUUGGCACCUCUAAAAAUGGUGCAGAAUAGGGGGUGGGCAAGCCUGGUGUCAGCCGCCGCGGUAAUACCAGCACCCCGAGUGGUCGGGACGAUUAUUGGGCCUAAAGCAUCCGUAGCCGGUCAUGCAAGUCUUCCGUUAAAUCCAGCCGCUCAACGGUUGGGCUGCGGAGGAUACUACGUGGCUAGGAGGCGGGAGAGGCAAGCGGUACUCAGUGGGUAGGGGUAAAAUCCUUUGAUCCAUUGAAGACCACCAGUGGCGAAGGCGGCUUGCCAGAACGCGCUCGACGGUGAGGGAUGAAAGCUGGGGGAGCAAACCGGAUUAGAUACCCGGGUAGUCCCAGCUGUAAACGAUGCAGACUCGGUGAUGGGAUGGCCUCGAGCUAUCCCAGUGCCGCAGGGAAGCCGUUAAGUCUGCCGCCUGGGGAGUACGGUCGCAAGACUGAAACUUAAAGGAAUUGGCGGG